Molecule: non-coding RNA, 90 nt
Filed under: Anoxybacillus gonensis
Lineage: Bacteria; Bacillati; Bacillota; Bacilli; Caryophanales; Anoxybacillaceae
Description: RT-9 RNA
Rfam family: RT-9 RNA
About the family: Firmicutes. Nearby to self-splicing intron genes
Source: Rfam by way of RNAcentral
GAUUAGAACGGCUACGGCUUUUCUAACAGGCUUUGAAACUUCAAGGGAGCUGUAAUCCUUCGCUCGAAGAGCGUAAACACAUGAAUAGUC